GGGGCAUGCGAGGGCUGUCGCUGACUCAAAGUCGUGCACGCCCGAGUGUGUCGCCUCACAUAAUAAUCCAUCUCACCCUUUGUGCAUCACCGCGUGGGCACCCCUUUGGGAUCAUCUCGGAGGGGGCUCGCGUUUUCACACAAAACCCCCCUUUUAAAAGUGUAGAAUGACCUCAUUUAUGCGUUAACCCGCAAUCAAUACAACUUUCAACAACGGAUCUCUUGGCUCUCGUAUCGAUGAAGAACGCAGCGAAAUGCGAUACGUAAUGUGAAUUGCAGAAUUCAGUGAAUCAUCGAAUCUUUGAACGCACCUUGCGCCCCCUGGUAUUCCGAGGGGCACACCCGUUUGAGUGUCGUGAAAACCUCAACCUCCUUGGUUUCUUCUGGAGACCAAAGCAGGCUUGGACUUUGGAGACCUUUGCUGGCACCUCUCGCCAGCUCCUCUUAAAUGAAUUAGCAGGGUCCUCUUUGCUGAUCCUCGACGUGUGAUAAGAUGUUUCCAUGUCUUGGUUUCUGGCUCUGUCACCUUUGGGACCCGCUUCUAACCGUCUUCAACCUUGCGUUGAGACAACGUUCGAGCAUGUCUCCCUUCUCGGGAAGCUCCCUCGACCCCACGAACCCUUGA
Molecule: ribosomal RNA, 624 nt
Filed under: uncultured Lactarius
Lineage: Eukaryota; Fungi; Basidiomycota; Agaricomycetes; Russulales; Russulaceae
Description: eukaryotic LSU rRNA
Rfam family: 5.8S ribosomal RNA (bases 202-355)
Source: RNAcentral